This 253-nucleotide ribosomal RNA is filed under the name uncultured bacterium. RNAcentral's name for it is "partial 16S ribosomal RNA". It matches the Rfam family "Bacterial small subunit ribosomal RNA", at positions 524 to 776 of the family's 1533-position model. The record is from RNAcentral.
UACGUAGGGUCCGAGCGUUGUCCGGAAUUAUUGGGCGUAAAGAGCUCGUAGGCGGCUUGUCGCGUCGACUGUGAAAACUCGGGGCUCAACUCCGAGCUUGCAGUCGAUACGGGCAGGCUAGAGUUCGGUAGGGGAGACUGGAAUUCCUGGUGUAGCGGUGAAAUGCGCAGAUAUCAGGAGGAACACCGGUGGCGAAGGCGGGUCUCUGGGCCGAUACUGACGCUGAGGAGCGAAAGCGUGGGGAGCGAACAGG